GUUAUACAAAUUAUGCAAAUAAAUUUUAUUAGUUUAAGUAAAAUUUAUUUUNAAAAAAUAAAAANUAAUUUUAUUAGGUGAAAUUUUGAAAUUAUUUAAUUUUUAUUUUGAAUUAUUGAAUCUUAAAAAUUUUAUAAAAAAACUAGGAUUAGAUACCCUAUUAUUUAAAAUAUAAUUAUUUAUACUAAAGUAGUAUUAGUUAUGUUCUUGAAAUUUAAAAAAUUUGGCGGUAUUUUAGUCUAUUUAGAGGAAUCUGUUCUAUAAUCGAUAAUCCACGAUGGACCUUACUUAUAUUUGUAUUCAGUUUUUAUACCGUCGUUAUAAGAAUAUUUUUUAAAAAUAAUAAUUUUCAAUAUUUUUUAUAAAAAUUUAUAUCAGAUCAANGGUGAAGCUUAUAUAUAAGAAGAAAUGGAUUACAAUAAAUUUAUUUAUGGAUUUUUAAAUGAAAAUUUAUUAUGAAAUUGGAUUUAAAUGUAAAAUUAUAUAGAUUAAUAAUUUGAU
RNAcentral lists this ribosomal RNA (501 nucleotides) under Nemorimyza posticata. Its description in RNAcentral is "partial 12S ribosomal RNA". The record is from RNAcentral. Lineage: Eukaryota; Metazoa; Arthropoda; Insecta; Diptera; Agromyzidae.